UAACAUGCGGCUGGAUGCGUUUGGAAAGGUAAGGUUUUAUUCGGCAAUUUUUAGGGUCGAGCUCUUGUGGAAAACCUUAUAUUUUUAUGUUUUUUGGAGAGCUUUGGCCUAAGUUCCCUUUAGACAUGAAAAUGUACGGAUUAUUCCGGGGAUUUCCUUAAAAAUUUUCGAAUAAAACCUACUUGUUUUAUGGGAUGCUCAGCCAGGAUCUUGACAAGAGGAAUGGCGGAUGGCGGAAACAAAUCGGUAUCAACUGUAUCCUAAACGGGUCACUAGACCAUAGCGGCUUUCGAAUCAAGCGGAUUUCGGUACAGCAGUACAGGAGGCUGCUAGGGCGGAUCUUCUGUCAUCACAUCCCCAACAGUUUGUUGAUUAGCUGGUUGACUGUAGUCGGUGCUUUAGCUUUCAAGGCCAGGUAGCUACUCUCAGGGCUACACAAUUUCAUUUGCAGCAAGAUCCUUAAGCCGUUACGUGAUUCUAAUGGGCAUUAUCCAGGAUUGGACCAGACAUUAAAUAAGCUCUACGUGACAGCAGCAGCAGCAACUGCCACAGCGAUGGUUUUGCCGAAAACUAUUUCUACCUUCCGGACAAAUUUCAUAUCCGUUGUCACAGAACGGUAUGUCAAAGUUAAUUUGUUGCUUGUCCAUGAGUUGGUUGAUCGGAAACUCUCCGGAGCUGGUUUGUGUCCACUACCAGGCGUGAAGGCGGAUGGACCAGAUUUCAGCACUGGCAGAUUUCCUGAUUGGAUAAAUUUUAAACCGAAAAAUUCUGUUACGUGAUGUCGGAUGGUUAGUGUAUCCCAACCCAACACACAAUUUCUGGAAACAAUUUCUCCAAACACAGACUUUUUCUGGGAAAAAAUGAG
Uranotaenia lowii is the source of this 865-nucleotide long non-coding RNA. RefSeq lists it as uncharacterized. The transcript is spliced from 3 exons. Lineage: Eukaryota; Metazoa; Arthropoda; Insecta; Diptera; Culicidae. The record is from RefSeq and is a predicted model, not a curated record.